UACGGAGGGUGCAAGCGUUGUCCGGAUUUAUUGGGUUUAAAGGGUGCGUAGGUGGCCUUAUAAGUCAGCGGUGAAAGUCUGCAGCUUAACUGUAGAACUGCCAUUGAUACUGUAAGGCUUGAGUACUGAUGAGGUAGGCGGAAUUGAUAGUGUAGCGGUGAAAUGCAUAGAUAUUAUCAAGAACACCGAUUGCGAAGGCAGCUUACUAAGGAGUUACUGACACUGAGGCACGAAAGCGUGGGGAUCAAGACGG
This 253-nucleotide ribosomal RNA is filed under the name uncultured bacterium. RNAcentral describes it as "partial 16S ribosomal RNA". It matches the Rfam family "Bacterial small subunit ribosomal RNA", at positions 524 to 776 of the family's 1533-position model. The record is from RNAcentral.